AUGAACGCUGGCGGCGUGCCUCAUACAUGCAAGUCGAGCGAACAGACGAGGAGCUUGCUCCUCUGACGUUAGCGGCGGACGGGUGAGUAACACGUGGAUAACCUACCUAUAAGACUGGGAUAACUUCGGGAAACCGGAGCUAAUACCGGAUAAUAAAUUGAACCGCAUGGUUCAAUAGUGAAAGACGGUUUUGCUGUCACUUAUAGAUGGAUCCGCGCCGCAUUAGCUAGUUGGUAAGGUAACGGCUUACCAAGGCAACGAUGCGUAGCCGACCUGAGAGGGUGAUCGGCCACACUGGAACUGAGACACGGUCCAGACUCCUACGGGAGGCAGCAGUAGGGAAUCUUCCGCAAUGGGCGAAAGCUUGACGGAGCAACGCCGCGUGAGUGAUGAAGGUCUUCGGAUCGUAAAACUCUGUUAUUAGGGAAGAACAAAUGUGUAAGUAACUAUGCACGUCUUGACGGUACCUAAUCAGAAAGCCACGGCUAACUACGUG
RNAcentral lists this ribosomal RNA (496 nucleotides) under uncultured bacterium. Its description in RNAcentral is "partial 16S ribosomal RNA". It matches the Rfam family "Bacterial small subunit ribosomal RNA", at positions 29 to 507 of the family's 1533-position model. The record is from RNAcentral.